This is a long non-coding RNA of Ceratitis capitata (Mediterranean fruit fly), 1022 nucleotides long. RefSeq lists it as uncharacterized. The transcript is spliced from 3 exons. Lineage: Eukaryota; Metazoa; Arthropoda; Insecta; Diptera; Tephritidae. The record is from RefSeq and is a predicted model, not a curated record.
UUGGAAAAAAGGUGUUGCAGGAAUUUCAUUAAUAUUUUAUUACUUUCAGUUAUUUUGGGUCGCUUGUGAAUAAUAAAUGCGCAGAGGUCGUGUAGUGUAGGUGUUGUAAGACAAAUACGUGAAAAAAUGGCAUAAGAUGGGCUGGACCGGCACAACCCUUUGAGUAUGUGUUAAGUAUCUCGGCAUCGUUGAUGGCUUGCCCGCUCGCUCGCCUGCUCGCCUGUCUACUUUACAACAAGAUUUAUCAUAUUUUUACGACUUAAUGCUAUUUGAAGGAUUAUUAAAUUAUGCAUGACGAUGUCGGGGUCAAUGUUUGUUACGAACCCCAGCUGCCGGACUUACAUGAAUGGGUUAGAAGUGACAGCGGCAAGAGUGCUUGAGCUACACAAGAGGGGGUUUUAUGAAAUAAAAGAAUUAUGCGAGGCUAUCAUGAGAGAAAAUUUAGGAACAAGCUCGUUUGACAUAAAGUUGAAUUGCUGCUGAACUGAGAAAUAUUCAAACCACACUGCAGGUGAGUAAGUAAAAUUUUUGACAUUGCUUUGAAGGUGUCUUCCUAAAUUCACUGUUUCUUUUUCUCCCAACAGCAUAACUUCCAAGCUUAAUGUGCACAGAAUCAAAACCCUUUUGCCUCCCCAACUCAUUUGGAAUGCCAAGCUUGGGUUUACUUACGUGGCAGCAGCUUACGAUUUAUCACCAAACCAAACAGCAAAUGGCAUAACAGUGUAGUGUUGCAAAACGGGCUGGCACACUUUUGAGCAAUUUGUCAAAAUGUGAAAAAACCUUGGAGUUGGUUAACAGCCAAAUGUGAGUCACGUCUUUGUCGUAUUGUGCACGGAAGAGGAAAGGAAAUUGCAGUGAAUGAAUGGCAAAUGAAAGAAAAAAUCAGGAGAAACGAAAAGGGAGCGAGAGGAAGGGAAACUGCAGUUAAUAAAUUGUGAGUAACAAGAGCAAAAUUGAGGGAACGAAAAGAGAGCGAGAGGAAGAAAAAAACAUGGAAGGAGAAGAAAGAGUGCGCCAAAAAG